This 851-nucleotide long non-coding RNA is filed under the name Linum usitatissimum (flax). Its description in RNAcentral is "long non-coding RNA (LUSI_LNC003702)". Lineage: Eukaryota; Viridiplantae; Streptophyta; Magnoliopsida; Malpighiales; Linaceae. The record is from RNAcentral.
AUGUUCUUGGGCCCGAUUGCAGGCCCGGUAUUUUGGGCCCAAUUUUGGGCCCGCUACUGUUAUUAAUUAAGAGGCUGCCACCUCUUGUUUUGUUUCAAAAACGUUGCAAAGUUUCAUUGGAGGAGAGGGGAGGUGGCAGCCCCUUUUCUUCAUUUAAAUGGACAAGCAAGUGGAGAAAUGGAAGGGGGAUGGUUUUUGGGAUGAAAAAUCUCUGCACCCCAAGUCCCAAUCCAAAAUAAAGAAGAAAAGAAAAUUAUUACAACAAGUUACAAACACGAGCUAAACCUAAGUACAACCGAUUCUACCGUCAUUCACUUUGUCGUCAUUCGCAAGGGACUACCACCUGAAACACGACAAAAAAAAGAAGCUUCGAUUCAAAGGUAAUCAUCCAAACAUUCCUAUUCAAAAGCAUUCAUGCAAUAUUCAUACAUACAUUUGGUGGCACUUAUACUCUCCUAAACAUCAUCCUCGAAUAUUCAUUAUGACUAAUCAAGGAAACGUUUCAUGUUGGUAAGCGUCCUAGCAAACCCUAAAAUAAGAUUCAAACUUAACAAGUUGCUGAAAUUUUAUCAAGGAUGACACUAAAUGAUAACAUUUCAAAAAUAUGAGUAAUUUUUUAAAAAGUUCAGAUUUCUAAAACUCAUCAUAACAACAAAAUAGUCCAGAUUUUAGUUCAAGCAACCUAAUCAAACAAAACUAUCAUCAUCAACUAAGUAAAAUCAGAAUGAGUGAAGGGUUUAACCUUUUACCUUUAUCGUCCUUUGCUCCAGCGAGUCCGUCUUCGACGGAAACUUUUUCUGCCUCUCCGGCUCCACCGAUCCCCGUCUUUAUUGAAACAUAAACCAACAUAA